This 783-nucleotide ribosomal RNA is filed under the name uncultured Polaribacter sp. RNAcentral describes it as "bacterial SSU rRNA". It matches the Rfam family "Bacterial small subunit ribosomal RNA", at positions 80 to 865 of the family's 1533-position model. Lineage: Bacteria; Pseudomonadati; Bacteroidota; Flavobacteriia; Flavobacteriales; Flavobacteriaceae. The record is from RNAcentral.
UUGCACAGAUGACGACCGGCGCACGGGUGCGUAACGCGUAUAGAACCUACCUUUUACAGGGGAAUAGCCUUUAGAAAUGAAGAUUAAUGCCCCAUGGUAUUGUAGACUGGCAUCAGUUUAUAAUUAAAGAUUUAUCGGUAAAAGAUGGCUAUGCGUCCUAUUAGUUAGUUGGUAAGGUAACGGCUUACCAAGACAUCGAUAGGUAGGGGGUCCUGAGAGGGAGAUCCCCCACACUGGUACUGAGACACGGACCAGACUCCUACGGGAGGCAGCAGUGAGGAAUAUUGGACAAUGGAGGCGACUCUGAUCCAGCCAUGCCGCGUGUAGGAAGAAUGCCCUAUGGGUUGUAAACUACUUUUAUACAGGAAGAAACACUGGUAUGUAUACCAGCUUGACGGUACUGUAAGAAUAAGGACCGGCUAACUCCGUGCCAGCAGCCGCGGUAAUACGGAGGGUCCGAGCGUUAUCCGGAAUCAUUGGGUUUAAAGGGUCCGCAGGCGGUCUAUUAAGUCAGAGGUGAAAUCCCAUAGCUCAACUAUGGAACUGCCUUUGAUACUGGUUGACUUGAGUCAUAUGGAAGUAGAUAGAAUGUGUAGUGUAGCGGUGAAAUGCAUAGAUAUUACACAGAAUACCGAUUGCGAAGGCAGUCUACUACGUAUGUACUGACGCUGAGGGACGAAAGCGUGGGGAGCGAACAGGAUUAGAUACCCUGGUAGUCCACGCCGUAAACGAUGGAUACUAGUUGUUGGGAUUUAUCUCAGUGACUAAGCGAAAGUGAUAAGU